This 441-nucleotide ribosomal RNA is filed under the name uncultured bacterium. RNAcentral's name for it is "partial 16S ribosomal RNA". It matches the Rfam family "Bacterial small subunit ribosomal RNA", at positions 338 to 795 of the family's 1533-position model. The record is from RNAcentral.
CCUACGGGUGGCAGCAGUGGGGAAUAUUGCACAAUGGGGGAAACUCUGAUGCAGCGACGCCGCGUGAGUGAAGAAGGAUUUAGGAAUGUAAAGCUCUAUCAGCAGGGAAGAAGAAAGACGGUACCUGACUAAGAAGCACCGGCUAACUACGUGCCAGCAGCCGCGGUAAUACGUAGGGGGCAAGCGUGAUCCGGAUUUACUGGGUGUAAAGGGAGCGUAGACGGCUGUGCAAGGCUGAAGUGAAAGCCCAGGGCUCAACCCUGAGACUGCUUUGGAAACUGUGGAGCUAGAGUGCUGGGGAGGUAAGUGGAAUUCCUAGUGUAGCGGUGAAAUGCGUAGAUAUUAGGAAGAACACCAGUUGCGAAGGCGGCUUACUGGACAGUAACUGACGUUGAGGCUCGAAAGCGUGGGGAGCAAACAGGAUUAGAUACCCUUGUAGUC